UAAGCCAGUUAAUGGAUUCUGGUCUAAGCAGUGAGGUUUGGUAUGAGUCAAAUGCUUGUACCUCUAAGAUUGAGCUGUGAUGGGGAAGCACUUUCGAGUGCGAAGUACCUGAUGUCACACUGCCAAGAAAAUCUUCUAGCGUUUAAUUAUAACCUACCCGUACCGCAAACCGACACAGGUAGUCGAGGCGAGUAGCCUCAGGUGAGCGAGAGAACUCUCGUUAAGGAACUCGGCAAAAUGACCCCGUAACUUCGGGAGAAGGGGUGCUCUACAUUUGUAGAGCCGCAGUGAAUAGGCCCAAGCGACUGUUUAUCAAAAACACAGCUCUCUGCUAAAUCGUAAGAUGAUGUAUAGGGGGUGACGCCUGCCCGGUGCUGGAAGGUUAAGAGGAGUGCUUAGCGUAAGCGAAGGUAUGAAUUGAAGCCCCAGUAAACGGCGGCCGUAACGAUAACGGUCCUAAGGUAGCGAAAUUCCUUGUCGGGUAAGUUCCGACCCGCACGAAAGGCGUAACGAUUUGGGCACUGUCUCAACGAGAGACUCGGUGAAAUUUUAGUACCUGUGAAGAUGCAGGUUACCCGCGACAGGACGGAAAGACCCCAUGGAGCUUUACUGCAAGUUGAUAUUGAGUAUCUGUUGCACAUGUACAGGAUAGGUAGGAGCCAUUGAUCUGAGGACGCUAGUUUUCAGUGAGGCGAUGUUGGGAUACUACCCUUGUGUCAUGGCUACUCUAACCCGCAUGCCUAAUCGGCAUGGGAGACAGUGUCUGCUGGGCAGUUUGACUGGGGCGGUCGCCUCCUAAAGAGUAACGGAGGCGCUCAAAGUUUCCCUCAGCAUGGUUGGAAAUCAUGCGUAGAGUGUAAAGGUAUAAGGGAGAUUGACUGCGAGACUUACAAGUCGAGCAGGUACGAAAGUAGGACUUAGUGAUCCGGUGGUACCGCAUGGAAGGGCCAUCGCUCAACGGAUAAAAGCUACCCUGGGGAUAACAGGCUUAUCUCCCCCAAGAGUUCACAUCGACGGGGAGGUUUGGCACCUCGAUGUCGGCUCGUCGCAUCCUGGGGCUGUAGUCGGUCCCAAGGGUUGGGCUGUUCGCCCAUUAAAGCGGCACGCGAGCUGGGUUCAGAACGUCGUGAGACAGUUCGGUCCCUAUCCGUCGCGGGCGUAGGAAAUUUGAGAGGAUCUGCCCUUAGUACGAGAGGACCGGGGUGGACUUACCGCUGGUGUACCAGUUGUCUUGCCAAAGGCAUCGCUGGGUAGCUAUGUAGGGAACGGAUAAACGCUGAAAGCAUCUAAGUGUGAAACCAACCUCAAGAUGAGAUUUCCCAUUCUUUAUGAAUUAAGAGCCCUGAGAGAUGAUCAGGUAGAUAGGCUAGAAGUGGAAGGACAGUGAUGUUUGGAGCGGACUAGUACUAAUAGCUCGAGGACUUUACC
This 1428-nucleotide ribosomal RNA is filed under the name metagenome. Its description in RNAcentral is "bacterial LSU rRNA". It matches the Rfam family "Bacterial large subunit ribosomal RNA", at positions 1488 to 2925 of the family's 2925-position model. The record is from RNAcentral.